UGAAUCUGUCCUAUAAUAAACUAGGAGACUCAGUAAAGAAGCUGCUGUCUGAUCUUAAGGAUGAUGAACAUUACAAACUACAGACACUGAAGGUCUAAUGAAUAUCUGUGUGUGAUGAAGACUCCAGUGUUCCUGCGUUACCAUGAUGGAGAAUAGAGAACAUAUUUAUUAACACAUCACUCAUUUAGUUCUAACACAUUAAACACACACAGAGACGUGAGAAGUGUGUGUUCAUCGUGUACAGUGAAUCAGACUAAACACAAUUCUACACUGAGUUUAUAAUGACCUCUGAUCCCUGGAUAAAAUUCCCUGGACCUCAAUCCCAUAAAAACCUGAGGGAUUAUUUGUAACAGCAGGUGAAAACCCACAUGAACUCGAGCUGAACCCUGUUCAUUUUACUGUUUGUGUGAUUUAUUAUUUGUUUAUUACUGUGAUAUGAUUUACACUUUUUACACAUGUAUAAUUAUAGCUAUAUUACUGGGUACAUAAUUAAAAUUAUAUUGUAUAAAGGUACUUAAAAUGUCUUGUAGAAAUACAUCAUACAUUUAGAAGGAAUAAAAUACACAAAUACAGUGUCAUUAUUUUUGUUGUGUAAAAUUAAUAUUAUGUAUAGAUAAUUCUGUAGAAUAUUCUGUAGAAAAACUAUUUUUGUUCUUCAAAUAUAUAAUCUAUAUAAAUAAAGUUCUUCAAAAAUAAAUGUAUGUCUAACACAAUAUAUAGUUACAGAAUGUAUUUCUGAAGAGAAACAUGUUUGUAAUAAAAAUAAAUGACUAUAACAUGUAGGGUUAACAUUAUAACACAACGUUGCUGAGUUAAAACAACUCCCACUGGAUCAGUCCACAUUGUACCCAGUGCUGGAGUUCAGAAUCGACCCAAACUGGGUUCUGUUUAAUCUCAGACAUUUUAGACUGCACCUUUAUGAGGAGACUCACCUGGGAAUGAGUGAAGAUGAGCACAAACUCCUUCUUUCUGUUGUGUAUCAGUCUGUUUUUUACCUGCUUCCCUCUCAUCUGUUUUAGUCAGUAGUGGAAUUAUUAUUAAUAUAAUUAUUUUCAAUUAGUUUUCGGUGCAGCAGCUAACGAAUACUCAUAAUUUAACCAACAUUAAAAUGUUAUUACAUUUA
Tachysurus fulvidraco (yellow catfish) is the source of this 1123-nucleotide long non-coding RNA. RefSeq lists it as uncharacterized. Lineage: Eukaryota; Metazoa; Chordata; Actinopteri; Siluriformes; Bagridae. The record is from RefSeq and is a predicted model, not a curated record. The transcript is spliced from 2 exons.